CGUGCUACAAUGGCAUAUACAAAGAGAAGCGACCUCGCGAGAGCAAGCGGAACUCAUAAAGUCUGUCGUAGUCGGGAUUGGAGUCUGCAACUCGACUCCAUGAAGUCGGAAUCGCUAGUAAUCGUAGAUCAGAAUGCUACGGUGAAUACGUUCCCGGGCCUUGUACACACCGCCCGUCACACCAUGGGAGUGGGUUGCAAAAGAA
RNAcentral lists this ribosomal RNA (205 nucleotides) under bacterium. RNAcentral's name for it is "partial 16S ribosomal RNA". It matches the Rfam family "Bacterial small subunit ribosomal RNA", at positions 1221 to 1425 of the family's 1533-position model. The record is from RNAcentral.